Mizuhopecten yessoensis (Yesso scallop) is the source of this 4776-nucleotide long non-coding RNA. RefSeq lists it as uncharacterized. The record is from RefSeq and is a predicted model, not a curated record. The transcript has 6 exons. NCBI's taxonomy places the organism in Eukaryota, Metazoa, Mollusca, Bivalvia, Pectinida, Pectinidae.
UCCGUUUUUGAAAGUAGUCCAUCCCUAUAGAAGUAGUCACGUGAUGUUUUGGUGUACUAAAGUCACGUGACCUGUGCAGAAUAUUUUUCCAUGCUGACAUUUUGAAAAAUCUCCUUAAAAAUCAGCUUUUUCCCUACUUGGAAGAGUGCUGAGCAUCUGCUACAGAAGGGGUUCACGUAUAAGAGGCGAGGCUAGCUAAUGGCAGGGGUAUCCUCCCUCGGCUUUCGCCGAAACAGAUACAUGACAAACUAGCUAAGCAGUUGGUCCACUAGUUGAGUCAGCCAACCCAAGUCUGCCAGUCCAGUCAGUCAGCCAGCCAGCCAAGUCAACUAGACCAGUCAACUAGUACACUCCCCCAGCCACAGUUACACAGUCCAUCUAACCAGACAAUUUAACCAAACCAGUCAACUGCACAAGUCAACUAUGCCAAUCAACCAGGCCGGUCAACUACCCAAGUCAACUAGACUACUGUCAAGUUCAACCAUUCCUGUCAAGAUGAUGACAGAUACACUACACGUUACCCAUUGAAUCAGUUGGGCACUUAAGCGACUGGCCAACCAACCUAGUCAAAUCAGCCAACUAGCUCUGCCAACUCACCAGACAGCCUGACAGCCAGCCAACCUUUUCUUUGGUACAAGUGCAGACAACUAACACAACAGUAAACCAACCCAACUCACACAAAUAUCCCAGCCAACCAGUCAGAUAAAUAGCCAAGUCAACCAGUAUCUCAAGCCCAACCUUGGCAGGAGUGUAUCUAUGUGGCCAGUCGUCAAACAAUUUUGUGUUCAAUGUUUUCCUCGACAACCAACCAUUAUGGAAGUCAUAUACUUGAUAAGUUUCCCUACAGCUAGAUUUUUACUGAUGUGACAAAUACACCAAUCAUACUCUGUAGAUUCUAUCUGGCGUCCUAUACAACAGAUACAUUGAACAGAAAGGCUCCUGUUUUCAGACUAUAAUACAUCACAUGAAUUUCAUACACGAGUUUUGGAGAUUUGAGCCUCCAUACUUUCUGCUUCAUUGACUACAUGGUCUACUUUCUAGCAAAAAAUAGCUGAAAAUUUUGGCCAACAACCAUCAGGAAAUUGUGCCAGUAUUUCAUUGUAAAGGGAUUUUAAGUGAAUUCCUUUGCAGGUUUUCAUAGAUUAUAUAUUGAAGAAAUCAAAUAACAUUUUUGUGGAGUUUUAGGACUAAGCUUGUGUUAGCUAGGGACGCAACCAUCCAAUGAAUUUAAAUGUGUUCUCGGAAAGUUUUGAGUUAACUUUUUAAAAUUGUUAUCGUCUAUAAAUGACCAUUAUUUUCUAAUGAACAUUUUGGUAUAUGAUAUAUUUGUUGUUGUUAUAGUGAAAUAUUUCACUGGGUUGUAUAUGCAAGUGGAUAUGCCAUAUGACUUGCACGCCCCGGUAACAUCAGUCACUCAAACAGGUCCGACGAGGACCGCAAACAGCUAAAUUCGCGAGACAUGAAGAACAACAAACAAGUAUGAUUUCAGCACUUCUCCUUUGAAAAGAAAAGAUCGGAAAGUAUUUGGCUGUUUUGAGCCCGUUAAUAUUUUUUUUCAAACUCUUACUUUUAUCAUUAUCGGUUCAAUUCGAAUGAAUGUCACCUUGUGAAUUCCUGCCGGCUAAUAGUAUCGCGCGACUUCGACUCUUUGUGGUACCCAAACUUCAAACCUUGCCACUUUCCCCAUGGUCCUCGUCCAACAGCUAAAUUCGCGAGACAUGAAGAACACCAAACAAUUGUGAUUUCAGCUAUUCUCCUUUGAAAAGAAAAGAUCGGAGAGUAUUUGGCUGUUUUGAGCCCAUUAAUAUUUUUUUUCAAACUCUUACUUUUAUCACUAUCGGUUCAAUUCGCAUGAAUGUCACCUUGUGAAUUCCUGCCGGUUAAUAGUAUCACGCGACUUUGACUCUUUGUGGUACACCAACUUCAAACCUUGCCACUUUCCUCAUGUCGUUUUGACACAUUCCUACUGUCAAGAUUGAAUAGUUCAGCAUGAUUUUACCCAAGAACGACAUUUUAAAAGUGCUCAAUAAAUGCGAAUAUUAACGGUAGUCGUUGGUCAGACAUAAACUAUCUAAACCAACCAAUAGCAAUUUUUUAUAUAAUAGUCCACCCCUUCGGGAACCUCAAAGGUGCCGGAUUCAUACUCGGAACAUCUUAAUGUUAUAUGUGUAACAGAUGCGUGCCUACAGUUCGUUAUCAAGUCAGUAAUUGUUGUUUGUAACAAAUAAAUGCCGACAGUAUAUACAAAAUAAUGGCCGUCUAUCUGACUCAAAUAACUAUUCCCUAAUGAUUCAACAAAUUACUGCCACAAAUCACUUCUGCCUAAUCUACACCCGGUAGAUAUUUUACAUUAAUAUUAAUAUACCUCUAACACUAAUAUAGUCAAAAAGCCAACUUAAGCAACUGUAUCAAUAUAUCCGUCGCCCUGUAUCAACAGUAAAUAUCCCCUUACUGCGACACGAUUAAUUGUGUACACCCUUUACCGCGACACCCCUUGACCACGUCACCCUUUAACCGCGACUGCCUUUUGACCAAGUCACCCUAGCCACUAUAAAACCUAAGUAUGCCUUGGUAAACCCUGUGUAUUGGUACCUGUCACUCUGUAUCAACAGUACGUCGCCCUGUACUGUGAUACCCUGUGACUAUGCAUACUAUCCAGUAAUACAAUUUAUUUUGAGCAGGUACUAAACUAUACAGUGGAACCCUAGCUUAUGCAGCUAGGCCCAAACUUAUUCAGCUUGGUCACUGUUUACCUUUUUAGAGGUGUUCCUUCCACUUCGACCGCCAGAGCAAGAGAGAGCUUUCAUCUGAUGGAUCCACUAUUUAUGUACCUAGCCAUUAAAUGAACUGCCUUCUUUCAUCAGCUAAUUAAAACUACUCUUACUUCCUAGUUACAAAGAAAUAACUAAAGCAAGUGUAUACUAUCGAUCAUUUAUUGAACAAUGUAAUUAACAAUGAAUCAACCGCUUCAUAUGUAAUUCCCGUGUGAAAUUUGGAACAUCUUCAGGUUUUAUGCUAUUCCUGUUUUAAAAGAAAAUCGAUAACUGAGUUAUACAAGGGCUUGUAAUUAGAGCCUGGUAUAUUCCGACAGAAGCAAACACACGAAAGCAUUUUUAGCGAAAAGCAACAGAUGUCAAAAUCUGUGACUAAAACCGAAAUUAAUAGUCCCCACUGAAGUUUAUCCAGGGGUGACUAAAAAUAAUUAACAAUGCAUAAACAUAAUUUGGUUUCAAUCAAUUAGUUAAAAGAAUAUCAGGUCACUAAAUCACAAUUUCCGAUUGCUUAAAUAAAACCAAUCAGUAUAUCUUUAUAUAUUAUUAUAUUUUUUAUUAUAAAAUGUAAGAUAAAAGGAAAUUAUUAUUGAUAAAGUGAACAAGUUUCAAUAGUAAUAUAACCGUUAUUUGCAAUCAUUUAAGUUUUCAUAUGUUUCCUGAUGAAAAGACCAAAUAAAAUCACACCAAACGUGUCAUUUCUCUAUAAAACCUCCUGGUGUUAUUAAAUAGUAUAUUUAACAUAAACUUUAAACAAGGUAAUUUAAGGUAUAAAACAUGUAAAUGAAACUAUUCUAAACUAUGUACUGAGGUAAUUGAAAAUACACCAAGUAAAAAACACAAACGUCUUUAUAAUACAAGAAAAAAAUUAUCGUGGCCAAUUAAAAAAUGUUUUGGGAAUAUAGUUCACCAUUACAGAGGCACGGUAGUCUAGUAGUCUCGUUUUCCUUGAUAGUAGUAUUAUAUAUAUACUGCAUUAAUAUACCACCUACCAGUAGCGAAAUAUUCUUUAUCAUGAUAAUACACAGUAUGAAGUUGAAUAUGACUUGAGAACAUAUUUUGGAACGUUUAUUUUCAAACAAAGUCUGCAAACAAAGUCUGCUCAUGGCAAAUGACAUCUAUAACCGGAAAUAGCGAACACAUUGAGCCUAGAAGUCAUUUUGAAGAUUCAGUAUUUAGUUGACUUUUUAUGAAUGGGAAAAUGUGAAUAAAAGAAGUAAAACUGUUAUUAUAACAAAUGUUCAUGUUAUAUAUUAAGAUACGGCAUAUACACGUAAGUAAUUAAACAAAUAAUAUCUAGAAAUAAAUACCGCAUGCUAAUAAUGAAUCACAUUGCACCAAAAAAAACGGAUCGAUUGGGACAUUUUGUUUGAAACGUUUAAAAAAUUCAAAUAUAAAUGUGAUGAAAAUAACAAACAUUAGGUUACUGCAAAACAAUGUUUCAUCGUCGUCUACACAAAAAUGUAUGCAUAACACAAGUAAUGUCAUUCUUAUAACAAACAAAAAAUGCACCGUUAUGUAUGACAGGAGGGAUAUCCUUCCCAACACAUAGAAAUAUAUACAGUAAUGUUUUACAGGAGAGAUAUCCCUCCCAACACAUAUACAUAUACACAGUAAUGUGUGACAGGAGUAAUAUCCUUCCCAACACAUAUAAAUAUACACAGUUAUGUAUGACAGGAGUGAUAUCCUUACCAACACAUAUAAAUAUACACAGUAAUGUAUGACAGGAGAGAUAUCCUUCCCAACCCAUAUAAAUAUACACAGUUAUGUAUGACAGGAGAGAUAAGUUUCCCAACACAUAUAAAUAUACACAGUUAUGUAUGACAGGAGAGAUAUCCUUCCCAACACAUAUAAAUAUACACAGUUAUGUAUGACAGAGAGAUAUCCUUCCAACACAUAUAAAUAUACACAGUAAUGUAUGACAGGAGAGAUAUCCUUCCAACACAUAUAAAUAUACACAGUUAUGUAUGACAGGAGUAAUAUCCUUCCCAACACAUAUAAAUAU